RNAcentral lists this unclassified non-coding RNA (335 nucleotides) under soil metagenome. RNAcentral's name for it is "partial contains 5.8S ribosomal RNA, internal transcribed spacer 2, and large subunit ribosomal RNA". The stretch from base 1 to 120 matches the Rfam family "5.8S ribosomal RNA", at positions 35 to 154 of the family's 154-position model. The record is from RNAcentral.
GAUGAAGAACGCAGCGAAAUGCGAUAAGUAGUGUGAAUUGCAGAAUUCAGUGAAUCAUCGAAUCUUUGAACGCACAUUGCGCCCCUUGGUAUCCCGAGGGGCAUGCCUGUUCGAGCGUCAUUUGUACCUUCAAGCUUUGCUUGGUGUUGGGUGUUUGUCUCGCCUUUGCGUGUAGACUCGCCUUAAAAUAAUUGGCAGCCGGCGUAUUGAUUUCGGAGCGCAGUACAUCUCGCGCUUUGCACUCAUAACGACAGCGUCCAAAAGUACAUUUUACACUCUUGACCUCGGAUCAGGUAGGGAUACCCGCUGAACUUAAGCAUAUCAAUAAGGGAGGA